UUGGCCGGGCGACGGUUGUCCCGGUUUAAGCGUGUAGGCUGGUUUUCCAGGCAAAUCCGGAAAAUCAAGGCUGAGGCGUGAUGACGAGGCACUACGGUGCUGAAGCAACAAAUGCCCUGCUUCCAGGAAAAGCCUCUAAGCAUCAGGUAACAUCAAAUCGUACCCCAAACCGACACAGGUGGUCAGGUAGAGAAUACCAAGGCGCUUGAGAGAACUCGGGUGAAGGAACUAGGCAAAAUGGUGCCGUAACUUCGGGAGAAGGCACGCUGAUAUGUAGGUGAAGCGACUUGCUCGUGGAGCUGAAAUCAGUCGAAGAUACCAGCUGGCUGCAACUGUUUAUUAAAAACACAGCACUGUGCAAACACGAAAGUGGACGUAUACGGUGUGACGCCUGCCCGGUGC
This 402-nucleotide ribosomal RNA is filed under the name Escherichia coli. RNAcentral's name for it is "partial 23S ribosomal RNA". It matches the Rfam family "Bacterial large subunit ribosomal RNA", at positions 1487 to 1869 of the family's 2925-position model. The record is from RNAcentral. Lineage: Bacteria; Pseudomonadati; Pseudomonadota; Gammaproteobacteria; Enterobacterales; Enterobacteriaceae.